RNAcentral lists this ribosomal RNA (2518 nucleotides) under Escherichia coli. Its description in RNAcentral is "bacterial LSU rRNA". It matches the Rfam family "Bacterial large subunit ribosomal RNA", at positions 418 to 2915 of the family's 2925-position model. Lineage: Bacteria; Pseudomonadati; Pseudomonadota; Gammaproteobacteria; Enterobacterales; Enterobacteriaceae. The record is from RNAcentral.
CGGGACACGUGGUAUCCUGUCUGAAUAUGGGGGGACCAUCCUCCAAGGCUAAAUACUCCUGACUGACCGAUAGUGAACCAGUACCGUGAGGGAAAGGCGAAAAGAACCCCGGCGAGGGGAGUGAAAAAGAACCUGAAACCGUGUACGUACAAGCAGUGGGAGCACGCUUAGGCGUGUGACUGCGUACCUUUUGUAUAAUGGGUCAGCGACUUAUAUUCUGUAGCAAGGUUAACCGAAUAGGGGAGCCGAAGGGAAACCGAGUCUUAACUGGGCGUUAAGUUGCAGGGUAUAGACCCGAAACCCGGUGAUCUAGCCAUGGGCAGGUUGAAGGUUGGGUAACACUAACUGGAGGACCGAACCGACUAAUGUUGAAAAAUUAGCGGAUGACUUGUGGCUGGGGGUGAAAGGCCAAUCAAACCGGGAGAUAGCUGGUUCUCCCCGAAAGCUAUUUAGGUAGCGCCUCGUGAAUUCAUCUCCGGGGGUAGAGCACUGUUUCGGCAAGGGGGUCAUCCCGACUUACCAACCCGAUGCAAACUGCGAAUACCGGAGAAUGUUAUCACGGGAGACACACGGCGGGUGCUAACGUCCGUCGUGAAGAGGGAAACAACCCAGACCGCCAGCUAAGGUCCCAAAGUCAUGGUUAAGUGGGAAACGAUGUGGGAAGGCCCAGACAGCCAGGAUGUUGGCUUAGAAGCAGCCAUCAUUUAAAGAAAGCGUAAUAGCUCACUGGUCGAGUCGGCCUGCGCGGAAGAUGUAACGGGGCUAAACCAUGCACCGAAGCUGCGGCAGCGACGCUGAUGCGUUGUUGGGUAGGGGAGCGUUCUGUAAGCCUGUGAAGGUGUGCUGUGAGGCAUGCUGGAGGUAUCAGAAGUGCGAAUGCUGACAUAAGUAACGAUAAAGCGGGUGAAAAGCCCGCUCGCCGGAAGACCAAGGGUUCCUGUCCAACGUUAAUCGGGGCAGGGUGAGUCGACCCCUAAGGCGAGGCCGAAAGGCGUAGUCGAUGGGAAACAGGUUAAUAUUCCUGUACUUGGUGUUACUGCGAAGGGGGGACGGAGAAGGCUAUGUUGGCCGGGCGACGGUUGUCCCGGUUUAAGCGUGUAGGCUGGUUUUCCAGGCAAAUCCGGAAAAUCAAGGCUGAGGCGUGAUGACGAGGCACUACGGUGCUGAAGCAACAAAUGCCCUGCUUCCAGGAAAAGCCUCUAAGCAUCAGGUAACAUCAAAUCGUACCCCAAACCGACACAGGUGGUCAGGUAGAGAAUACCAAGGCGCUUGAGAGAACUCGGGUGAAGGAACUAGGCAAAAUGGUGCCGUAACUUCGGGAGAAGGCACGCUGAUAUGUAGGUGAAGCGACUUGCUCGUGGAGCUGAAAUCAGUCGAAGAUACCAGCUGGCUGCAACUGUUUAUUAAAAACACAGCACUGUGCAAACACGAAAGUGGACGUAUACGGUGUGACGCCUGCCCGGUGCCGGAAGGUUAAUUGAUGGGGUCAGCGCAAGCGAAGCUCUUGAUCGAAGCCCCGGUAAACGGCGGCCGUAACUAUAACGGUCCUAAGGUAGCGAAAUUCCUUGUCGGGUAAGUUCCGACCUGCACGAAUGGCGUAAUGAUGGCCAGGCUGUCUCCACCCGAGACUCAGUGAAAUUGAACUCGCUGUGAAGAUGCAGUGUACCCGCGGCAAGACGGAAAGACCCCGUGAACCUUUACUAUAGCUUGACACUGAACAUUGAGCCUUGAUGUGUAGGAUAGGUGGGAGGCUUUGAAGUGUGGACGCCAGUCUGCAUGGAGCCGACCUUGAAAUACCACCCUUUAAUGUUUGAUGUUCUAACGUUGACCCGUAAUCCGGGUUGCGGACAGUGUCUGGUGGGUAGUUUGACUGGGGCGGUCUCCUCCUAAAGAGUAACGGAGGAGCACGAAGGUUGGCUAAUCCUGGUCGGACAUCAGGAGGUUAGUGCAAUGGCAUAAGCCAGCUUGACUGCGAGCGUGACGGCGCGAGCAGGUGCGAAAGCAGGUCAUAGUGAUCCGGUGGUUCUGAAUGGAAGGGCCAUCGCUCAACGGAUAAAAGGUACUCCGGGGAUAACAGGCUGAUACCGCCCAAGAGUUCAUAUCGACGGCGGUGUUUGGCACCUCGAUGUCGGCUCAUCACAUCCUGGGGCUGAAGUAGGUCCCAAGGGUAUGGCUGUUCGCCAUUUAAAGUGGUACGCGAGCUGGGUUUAGAACGUCGUGAGACAGUUCGGUCCCUAUCUGCCGUGGGCGCUGGAGAACUGAGGGGGGCUGCUCCUAGUACGAGAGGACCGGAGUGGACGCAUCACUGGUGUUCGGGUUGUCAUGCCAAUGGCACUGCCCGGUAGCUAAAUGCGGAAGAGAUAAGUGCUGAAAGCAUCUAAGCACGAAACUUGCCCCGAGAUGAGUUCUCCCUGACUCCUUGAGAGUCCUGAAGGAACGUUGAAGACGACGACGUUGAUAGGCCGGGUGUGUAAGCGCAGCGAUGCGUUGAGCUAACCGGUACUAAUGAACCGUGAGG